Molecule: ribosomal RNA, 429 nt
Filed under: Bacteroidota bacterium
Lineage: Bacteria; Pseudomonadati; Bacteroidota
Description: Bacteroidetes bacterium partial 16S ribosomal RNA
Rfam family: Bacterial small subunit ribosomal RNA
Source: RNAcentral
UAGGGAACCUUCCGCAAUGGACGCCAGUCUGACGGAGCAACGCCGCGUGAGUGAAGAAGGAUUUCGGUUCGUAAAACUCUGUUGUUAGAGAAGAACAGCGCAUAGAGUAACUGUUAUGCGUGUGACGGUAUCUAACCAGAAAGCCACGGCUAACUACGUGCCAGCAGCCGCGGUAAUACGUAGGUGGCAAGCGUUGUCCGGAUUUAUUGGGCGUAAAGCGAGCGCAGGCGGUCAAUUAAGUCUGAUGUGAAAGCCCCCGGCUCAACCGGGGAGGGUCAUUGGAAACUGGUUGACUUGAGUGCAGAAGAGGAGAGUGGAAUUCCAUGUGUAGCGGUGAAAUGCGUAGAUAUAUGGAGGAACACCAGUGGCGAAGGCGACUCUCUGGUCUGUAACUGACGCUGAGGCUCGAAAGCGUGGGUAGCAAACAGG